RNAcentral lists this ribosomal RNA (479 nucleotides) under Klebsiella pneumoniae. RNAcentral describes it as "bacterial SSU rRNA". It matches the Rfam family "Bacterial small subunit ribosomal RNA", at positions 985 to 1463 of the family's 1533-position model. The record is from RNAcentral. Lineage: Bacteria; Pseudomonadati; Pseudomonadota; Gammaproteobacteria; Enterobacterales; Enterobacteriaceae.
CAUCCACAGAACUUUCCAGAGAUGGAUUGGUGCCUUCGGGAACUGUGAGACAGGUGCUGCAUGGCUGUCGUCAGCUCGUGUUGUGAAAUGUUGGGUUAAAGUCCCGCAACGAGCGCAACCCUUAUCCUUUGUUGCCAGCGGUUCGGCCGGGAACUCAAAGGAGACUGCCAGUGAUAAACUGGAGGAAGGUGGGGAUGACGUCAAGUCAUCAUGGCCCUUACGACCAGGGCUACACACGUGCUACAAUGGCAUAUACAAAGAGAAGCGACCUCGCGAGAGCAAGCGGACCUCAUAAAGUAUGUCGUAGUCCGGAUUGGAGUCUGCAACUCGACUCCAUGAAGUCGGAAUCGCUAGUAAUCGUAGAUCAGAAUGCUACGGUGAAUACGUUCCCGGGCCUUGUACACACCGCCCGUCACACCAUGGGAGUGGGUUGCAAAAGAAGUAGGUAGCUUAACCUUCGGGAGGGCGCUUACCACUUU